Molecule: ribosomal RNA, 326 nt
Filed under: uncultured bacterium
Lineage: Bacteria
Description: bacterial SSU rRNA
Rfam family: Bacterial small subunit ribosomal RNA
Source: RNAcentral
GAUGAACGCUAGCGGCAGGCCUAAUACAUGCAAGUCGAGGGGUAGUGGAAGCUUGCUUCCAUGAGACCGGCGCACGGGUGCGUAACGCGUAUGCAACCUACCUCUAUCUGGGGGAUAGCCCGGAGAAAUCCGGAUUAACACCGCAUAAAAUCACAGUACGGCAUCGUACAAUGAUCAAAUAUUUAUAGGAUAGGGAUGGGCAUGCGUGUCAUUAGUUAGUUGGCGGGGUAACGGCCCACCAAGACCACGAUGACUAGGGGAUCUGAGAGGAUGGCCCCCCACACUGGUACUGAGACACGGACCAGACUCCUACGGGAGGCAGCAGU